UCAAUGCCUCCAUAAGUUCCAUGGAUUCAAAUGGGUCUACUUCUGUGGUGACAUCCUUUAGUUUUCACAAACCACCACCACAACAAAGCCCUGUUUGAAUGGAAACUAUGGAGCCAUCUGACUUAUCCAAUCCCCAUUGAUCCUAGGGCGAUUUACUACGUUCAACAACAGGACUUGGGCCAAAGUUCAGCGAGAAGUCCUAUUCAGCAAAAAUCGUCCACCCAUCCUUCUGUUUGUACCCCGCCUGUUUUUUCCAAGGCUCAAAAGCUCCUGGAAAUGUUAUACAUGGCGGCUUCUUCCUCCUAGUCGGUGCAGUCCUACUUCUGUGAAAUGGCCCCUUAAUUCCCCCUUAAGUGAGUUUCGCUUCAUGUCUUCCUAUCCAUAUGUGUGAUUCCUGGUUCCCUCUCCUUGAUUUCUCUUCUCUCCCAAAGGCCUCCCAGAGGCCACCGUGUUGUCCAGCGUCGCCCGGAUUGGAUUGGAAAACAUCUCAAGAUGUUUCCUUCGCCCUGGGACCUGCUCCUUUCCACCGGAGAGUCAACCUGGAACCUUCUGCGUGGGAAGCAGACACGUUCGCCCUGAGUGAUGGGCUUUUCCCAACAUACGAGGGGGCCUCAGACGGAGUCAAAUCAUGGAUGCUCCCAGGCUAGCAUCCCCUACUACUCUGCCCCAUAGCAUAUCUUUGGACAGAGAGCCUUUCUGCUUUUGAUUUUUCUCAUUCAGCAUCCUGAAUUAAGCAUCUGCAGGCUGGGCAGCUGCUCCGUCUUUGACUGGAGCCCCGUUUAAUCCUUCCACCAUGUUGACACUUCAAAUUCUUCUCCAAGAAAAGGUUGGGUCCUCCUAUUGCCAGUGGCCCGUUCUGGGAGCCCUCCCCUAGGGGGGGAAGAGACGGGAUCUCGGGCUGUUGACCCACAGCAUCGUCCGAGAAACCCGAGAGCCCUCGAAGAUCUGACAUGCUCCCUGACGUGCUCCGGAUCCCGUCCCAACCUGAGCGGCACCACGGGCGGACGGAGCCGUUAGAAAGCCAAGAACACAAGGUGAAGAAAAGUCAACCAAGGACCUCUCCCGGUGAAUACCUCACUGUUCUCGCCGGGAUGUGGGUUGCCCUGGUAACCAAAAGGGAAGAACUGGGAUGCCAAGGUGCGAGGGCUGGGAGGAAGACAGUGGCUCUGAGCCCUUCAGAAAGGGCUUUGAGGGGGGAAAAGAAAGGCAAGUGCAGGAUGCGACCUUGCGAUCCACGCCUCUUCCUCCUUCUGCAGCUUUUCCCAGCGAUGGGGGUCAGUCCCAGAGCUGGUGGCCUCAAGUUUGACUCUGGGAGUGACGUGGACCCCGGAUCUUCCUUCACCAGCCAUGAAAGCAUCUCGAUGUGGCCAGGUAAGAGAGCAUCAGUGUAGGGCAGCUGGUUAUGGGGAUAACGGAGAUCUGCCCUCUGUCAUGCAGGCUGGGAUUCUUGGAGUGGUAUUUCCAGAAGGUUCUUGCUGUUGAAGAAAGAUCCGUGCACUACCAAAGGCCUGGACAUAGAUCAGAGCCAGGAAAGAACACGUUAGAUUUCUCACGUCAAUAGUCAUUGCUUUGUAUUCAAAAUGAGGAAUGCAUCUCAAAAUGAUGCUUCAAAAGCAGGUGACAAUCACACACGAUCAGCACUUGAGGAUCUGGUGAUGGGUCAUCUAUAAUGUUUACAUAUGGCCCAGUUUAGGCGCAGUCCUCAUCCAAAGUGGAGGGGAAAUGGAUUUCUCCAUCAGCAACAGACUGUUAAGGAUCAUUCGUGUGAUGCCUUUUGCAAAGUAUUUAGGGAUGGAUUGGUCUCAGUUGGCCAAUUAAGAUCCAUUAGGAGUGUAAUCAUUAGGUAAAAGCUGGCCAGAGCAGGAUGUGAUGCCCAAGUGGACAGAUUCAGGAAUAAGGCCACUUUCAACCCCAUCUAUUAUUCAUUCAAGGCAAUGUGUUUCUGUACCGUCUUUCUCUCCAGACUGGCAACAUAAAAUUACGCCAACAAAAUAAAAACCAGGAGUUUGAAAGCA
This 2015-nucleotide long non-coding RNA is filed under the name Pogona vitticeps (central bearded dragon). RNAcentral describes it as "lncRNA (ENSPVIG00000018030.1)". Lineage: Eukaryota; Metazoa; Chordata; Lepidosauria; Squamata; Agamidae. The record is from RNAcentral.